This 253-nucleotide ribosomal RNA is filed under the name uncultured bacterium. RNAcentral describes it as "partial 16S ribosomal RNA". It matches the Rfam family "Bacterial small subunit ribosomal RNA", at positions 524 to 776 of the family's 1533-position model. The record is from RNAcentral.
UACGUAGGGGGCAAGCGUUGUCCGGAUUUAUUGGGCGUAAAGAGCGUGUAGGCGGCUAAAUAGGUCCGUUGUGAAAACUCGAGGCUCAACCUCGAGAUGCCGAUGGAAACCAUUUGGCUAGAGUCCGGAAGAGGAGAGUGGAAUUCCCGGUGUAGCGGUGAAAUGCGCAGAUAUCGGGAGGAACACCGAUGGCGAAGGCAGUGGUCUGGGCCGGUACUGACGCUCAUCAGCGAAAGCGUGGGUAGCGAACAGG